UCUCUCGUGGCUCAGAGGUUAAAGCGUCUGCCUGCAAUGCAGGAGAUCUGGGUUUGAUCCCUGGGGCGGGAA
RNAcentral lists this transfer RNA (72 nucleotides) under Ovis aries (sheep). It matches the Rfam family "tRNA". Rfam says of the family: Transfer RNA (tRNA) molecules are approximately 80 nucleotides in length. Their secondary structure includes four short double-helical elements and three loops (D, anti-codon, and T loops). The record is from Rfam by way of RNAcentral. Lineage: Eukaryota; Metazoa; Chordata; Mammalia; Artiodactyla; Bovidae.